This 3326-nucleotide long non-coding RNA is filed under the name Fragaria vesca (wild strawberry). RNAcentral describes it as "long non-coding RNA (FVES_LNC000917)". The record is from RNAcentral. Lineage: Eukaryota; Viridiplantae; Streptophyta; Magnoliopsida; Rosales; Rosaceae.
UUAUGUUGUUUGAUUGUUAUAAGAACUUCAUAUAUAACAAAAUUAAGAACUGAACUUUAUUGAAUGUUAAUAAUCCACUUCAAUUACAAAAUCAUUUGAAUAAGAAAGAUUACAUGCGGAUAGCAACAAUACCUAUUGAUCUAAAUCUACAUAUCACUGCAUUCUCAUUGCUCCUUGAGGAACUUUGAGCCAUGUUCCAUUCUUUGCUGGUCGAAUACACCGUGUAGCAGCUUGCAAGCUUGUUUUCCAGAAUGUCUUCUUGCUCUGCCAAUUCUCCAGUUGACUCGAGAGUUCUUUUGAGCCAAAGCUGCAACUAUGAUCUCCCUGAGAUAAUCUGACCAGUGCAAAGCAAAAAAACCAGUAGUUGAGGAGCACUUGAAUCUAUCAUCCAAACAUCAUUCUGCUUUCUGUUAUUGUCAAUAACAUAAGACAAUGUAUGCAACUAGGAAACAAAGAAGUUGGACCAAAAUGCCUAGGGCAAUAAUACUUAUAUAACAACACAUCAAAUACUUAACUGCCAAUAAUAGAGUAUUGACCCCACUUUUUUUAUUUAUUUGAUCUGAGCAAGAACCUUAUACCAAAAAAAUCUGAAGCCAAAUACAGAACAAUACAUCUAUGACAUAGGUAAGUUGCCCCUUUUUUUCCUUUUUCAUCUUUUGGUCAGGAUGUAGGCAUGCACUUUCUCUUUUUCUCUCAAAAAAGAAGAAGGAUGUAGGCAUGCAGAGAUUGAAGGAAAUAUAACACUAGAGAAGCACAACAGAUCAAGCUAAUACACAUCAAAUAAAACUCGCCUUUUACUUAUAACUUAAUACCAAUUAACUUAUACUUGGAACCUGCCGAGUCCAAUACCAGAAUCUAUGGUAGAACAAGUUUGAUAGAAUUUACCAAUAACUUUUGACUUAUGAAUUCAAAGACAACCCAACACUUUAUAUUCAGUCCUUAACGAUCAAGAACCAAGCUUACAUGAUUAAGGUAUUAAUUCAAUACCUUCCAACUUCUUUGAACUACUGCUCUUGUGACUUAAAAAGAUGAUCUUGUCAUCUAGCAAACUUUAAUUACUAUCACAACAUCAAUAUGCUAUAACAAUACACCCAGACCCAUACUCAAAAGAUCACAACCAGUCUUCCAAAGUAUGAUUAAAUGGGUAUAUACCUUUAAUUGAAAGCAACCAGAGGAUGGCCUUAAGUUUCUGGCUUCCUUCACAGCAACAAACAGAGUCCUCCCGUGGUUCACCUCCUCCACCACCUCACCAAUUCUGAUAACAAGUAUACCCAAACCUCAAAUUCAAUCUCAAUCCAUUUAAAUGAUCGAGAAAAUGACCCAAAAGGUAUCCAAAUACCCAUGUACAUGCCGAAAUGUGUAAUGCACCUUUGACUUAAAAACUCUAAUUGACAAAAGAAAAUUUGGUCAAAAUCCUAAUAGAUUUCUACAUAAGAAUAAUACUAUGGGGAGUAAUUGAAUUACAACGUAGGUUGUAGUAAUAACUAAACAUCCUUUCAUGCAGAAAAAAGUUGUACAAGCCCUGCAUAGGAACGCCGAAGAACUUCUCUUGUUGAUUUAAAUUGACACCCGGGACAAAAAGUGAAAAAUGAAAAAGACAACUGAUACAAAACUGAUGGUUUACAGAUCAAUGGCUUACUAAGUCAGAAAAAGAUAACUUUUAAUUAUUAUUGGGACAUGGACAUUGUAAAAAGGAUGAGUAAUACAUGAUUUUCUUAUACGACAACCGGAUCACUACCUUUGUGUCUUAGUAGGUAGCCUGAUGCAAAAUUAACAGAGUUAUAAGUUAAGUAUUGAAACCACAUUGGCCAAGUAUUGAUACCGACAUGGCAAAUGCUCAUUAUUCCUACUACAUAUUUGUGCAUUGUUCUGAUUUAUCUAUUGUAUUCAAGUACAUGAAUGUCUAAAUUGACUAUCAUCUAGACAUAUACUGGUUCCCUAGAAAUAUAUAGGCAUUCGUGUUGCACUAUAUAUAAACAAAACCAAAUAUGGAAGAAACAAAACAAGAAAAUGAUGACCCGAAGUGGAAAAAUUGUGCCUCUGUAGAAAUCUAACGGGAUGUAUAAAUGAGGAGGCAAACACAUUGGUAAUAAAAGUUCCUAUAAACCACCUGAUCAACUUUAGCCUUCGCAGAGAUCUAAACUUGUUGAGCACUUCAUACUCAUAAUUGAGAACUUCGCAGCUUUGAUUGUCGUUGAAGAAGCAAGCAAGGGCAGAAGCGCCGGAAGGCAGAAAAACAACCCAGAAAAGAGAAAAAUAAAUCCAACCAAAUACGAAAGCUAAACAUAGCGGAAUGUCGAGAAAUAAGAAACCCCAAAUCUAUAACCCAAUUGGUAGAAAUCCCAAAUCGUAAACCUUAGAUCCCAAAACAAAGAAAUGUCAAAAACCCUAACUGCUAGCAACGAUUUACGAAGAGGAACAAUCACAAAUACACAACUCAAAAACCCCAAAUUGUAAACCCAGAUCCCAAAACAAAUCAAAUUCGAAAACCCUAGAUAGAGAGUCUUACCAGCUAGCGAGGAGUAGAGCUAUGAAUGAGAGCUCAGAGUCAUCGAGAGGCGGAGAGGGAAGAAACGUGUUCUGAGAGAGGGAGAGAAAGUGGCGUCGAGAGAGAAAAGAGAUGGUCUUCUUGAUGAACUCCACAGAUUCGGCAAAUGAAGAUGUGGAUGGUGAAUUGGUGGGUAGGAGGGCUGACGGCAGCGGAGAGAGGGUUGGGAGGGCUGACGGCAGCGGAGAGAUGGUUGAGCGUCGAUGCAGGAGCCCCUCUCGCCUCAGUCUCUCUUUCCCUCUCGAACUGAAAUGGAAGAGGCUGGGGUUUCUUACCCUCGUAAGUGUUGACCCAACGGUUCAGAUGAGAAAAGAAAGGAUGUAGGGCUAGGAUUAAUUGUUGCCUUUAAAAAUUAGAAAUAGUUGACCAGCAUCUUGCUAACCCCUAACCUCUAAACUUAGCUUUUUUUUAUUCACCAAAGAAUUAAAACCUACUAAUGUAAUACAUGUUUACUAGCUAGGUUACAUCUAAACGUAUAUCAUUAUAAACCAAUUAUAUGGACGAAAUAAAAUUUGCAAAAUUUGAUUGUACGAUGUGAUCACAAUAGUCAAUUAUGUGUACAAUAGCAAACUUACCUAUUUUCGAUAACGUUUGGGUCUCAAUCGCAUGGGUCAACUUUAUUUACGUUUAAACUUCCAUGUGCUUCCUUAUGAGGAACUAUAUAAUCGGUUUAUAAAUAUGUCCAAAUUUUUACAAGGAUCAGUUUCGCCAAUACUCAAUGAGAGUUUGAGUAUUGAGGAAUCAAAAAUAUAAGUUUCGGUCGAAGUAGAUAAGAGCG